UAUAGUUAUACAAGUUUAAAUGAAAUGAUUCAUCAAGUUAGCCAGAGCAUUCGUGCGAGACAGGAUCCAUCAGGAAUGAAAAGAAAACAACAGAGUGGAUAAAAAAAGGCUAACCGUUAUUCGGUGUGGUGUAGUGGAAGAACUUGUGCGCCACCUACGAAAAAGUUAAGACAACAGGAACGCGAGAUACCAGAUGAAGACCAAGACAAACUAAACGUGAGUUAGAGAAGUUAUAUAGAGCCUUAAGAUGACGAGGAGGCAAGAGGCCAAGAAGAACUCUGGGUUUAGUUCUGAGCAAUGAGUAUAAUAUUCUACUCCUAUCCUACUAUUCCUACUUGGUAGAAGAUAGAGAGUAAAGAGAACCCUAUUACUGUACCACGUGUGUACACAUACCAAUACUAAUUCAAGAUGUAACAAUGAAUAAGACUAAGCAUCGUCUAUGUUGUGUACACACAACUAUAACUAUUCAUGGAUAUAUUGUACGAGCUCACGAAAGAGUAUCGGCAUGGUCGCGCAAGUGGGUUUCGAGUCGAAUGAAAGGAUCGUUGUGCCGUGCACAUAACGGGUAGCCUCAUCCCGACGCGGGCAUAAAUACACACCGAGAAGAGAUCCAAAAGGAGUGUCGUAUUUGUAUCGCUGAGCAGACUCAAGUUGAGCUGAGCUGAACCAGCACACCGAGAUACGGCCAGAAAAAAAUGAGUGAGUGAGUUAAGUUAAGGAAGAGAACGUCAGUCGCGAGGAGACAAAAAAAAGAGGACAGCCUGGCACACACGAUGAUGAAAGAUACUAUACAAGUCAACAAGCCAACAAGGGCUCCGACAUACACGGCUUUAUGUAUGUUCUCAUUGGCCUGCCUUAUUCUUCUUCUUCUUCUUCUUCUUCUUCUGCUUUCUCAACCCUUGCAGUGAGGAGACGGGUUACGUCACGUUGAAAAAGCUAUUUGAGGUCAACACCCCGCUGAAACGCGACACGUGUAGUACUUCUUGACGGUCCCUUGCCCUGUCUCCAGCUUUCCCCAUCGCCUCCCACUUCCCACCUCCUCAUCCUACUUCUGUACUCGACGUUAUACAUUACGUCUUUUUCGUCUCACUCACCCUACACACUACAUACACCGUCUAUGUUCUUUUAUUCUUUACUCGAUAGUGCGCAACGACAACUACCCUGGCCACAAGCUUACAGCGGCCAUUGCUUCUCAAAUUUCUCCUACUUUAUUUAUUAUUUAUUAUUAUUAUUAUUAUUAUUAUUCUACUAGAAUACCACUUGUUAGAAGAUUUCCAUUUUAAUCUACAGCUAUUUGCUACCCUUUUUUGCUUCUAUGACACACCAGCAAUAGGUGCAUUAUGUUAUUGUAAGAAAAAGGUGACACACAUUCAGUUGGUUGAUGCAAGAGUUAAUAAUAAGUCGUAUUUAAAUUAUACAAUUAUUUUUAUUCAAUUAUUUAAAUUAUAAAUU
This is a long non-coding RNA of Cotesia glomerata, 1452 nucleotides long. RefSeq lists it as uncharacterized. The record is from RefSeq and is a predicted model, not a curated record. Lineage: Eukaryota; Metazoa; Arthropoda; Insecta; Hymenoptera; Braconidae. The transcript has 3 exons.